AGAGACAGCAGCAGCCACGGGAAUACGUAGGUGGCGAGCGUUGUCCGGAAUUAUUGGGCGUAAAGGGAGCGCAGGCGGACAUAUAAGUCCAUCUUAAAAGUGCGGGGCUCAACCCCGUGAGGGGAUGGAAACUGUAUGCCUUGAGUGCAGGAGAGGAAAGCGGAAUUCCCAGUGUAGCGGUGAAAUGCGUAGAUAUUGGGAGGAACACCAGUGGCGAAGGCGGCUUUCUGGACUGUAACUGACGCUGAGGCUCGAAAGCCAGGGGAGCGAACGGGAUUAGAUACCCCAGUAGUCCCUGUCUCUUAUACC
RNAcentral lists this ribosomal RNA (309 nucleotides) under uncultured bacterium. RNAcentral describes it as "partial 16S ribosomal RNA". It matches the Rfam family "Bacterial small subunit ribosomal RNA", at positions 504 to 808 of the family's 1533-position model. The record is from RNAcentral.